Molecule: transfer RNA, 74 nt
Filed under: Candidatus Desantisbacteria bacterium CG1_02_49_89
Lineage: Bacteria; Candidatus Desantisiibacteriota
Also listed under: 3 other names
Description: tRNA-Pro
Rfam family: tRNA
About the family: Transfer RNA (tRNA) molecules are approximately 80 nucleotides in length. Their secondary structure includes four short double-helical elements and three loops (D, anti-codon, and T loops).
Source: RNAcentral
CGGGGUGUAGCGCAGUCUGGUAGCGCGCGCGGUUCGGGACCGUGAGGCCCCCGGUUCAAAUCCGGGCACCCCGA